This 689-nucleotide ribosomal RNA is filed under the name Enterobacteriaceae bacterium HGPR52. RNAcentral describes it as "bacterial SSU rRNA". It matches the Rfam family "Bacterial small subunit ribosomal RNA", at positions 69 to 749 of the family's 1533-position model. The record is from RNAcentral. Lineage: Bacteria; Pseudomonadati; Pseudomonadota; Gammaproteobacteria; Enterobacterales; Enterobacteriaceae.
GUAACAGGAACAGCUUGCUGCUUCGCUGACGAGUGGCGGACGGGUGAGUAAUGUCUGGGAAACUGCCUGAUGGAGGGGGAUAACUACUGGAAACGGUAGCUAAUACCGCAUAACGUCGCAAGACCAAAGAGGGGGACCUUCGGGCCUCUUGCCAUCGGAUGUGCCCAGAUGGGAUUAGCUAGUAGGUGGGGUAACGGCUCACCUAGGCGACGAUCCCUAGCUGGUCUGAGAGGAUGACCAGCCACACUGGAACUGAGACACGGUCCAGACUCCUACGGGAGGCAGCAGUGGGGAAUAUUGCACAAUGGGCGCAAGCCUGAUGCAGCCAUGCCGCGUGUAUGAAGAAGGCCUUCGGGUUGUAAAGUACUUUCAGCGGGGAGGAAGGGAGUAAAGUUAAUACCUUUGCUCAUUGACGUUACCCGCAGAAGAAGCACCGGCUAACUCCGUGCCAGCAGCCGCGGUAAUACGGAGGGUGCAAGCGUUAAUCGGAAUUACUGGGCGUAAAGCGCACGCAGGCGGUUUGUUAAGUCAGAUGUGAAAUCCCCGGGCUCAACCUGGGAACUGCAUCUGAUACUGGCAAGCUUGAGUCUCGUAGAGGGGGGUAGAAUUCCAGGUGUAGCGGUGAAAUGCGUAGAGAUCUGGAGGAAUACCGGUGGCGAAGGCGGCCCCCUGGACGAGACUGACGCUCA